CUCCGGUUGAUCCCGCCGGACCCGACUGCUAUCAGAGUGGGACUAAGCCAUGCGAGUCAACAUAGCAAUAUGUGGCAUACGGCUCAGUAACACGUAGUCAACAUGCCCAGGGGACGUGGAUAACCUCGGGAAACUGAGGAUAAACCACGAUAGGUCAUCACUUCUGGAAUGGGUAAUGACUUAAAUCUAUAUGGCCCCUGGAUUGGACUGCGGCCGAUCAGGCUGUUGGUGAGGUAAUGGCCCACCAAACCUGUAACCGGUACGGGCUCUGAGAGGAGGAGCCCGGAGAUGGGCACUGAGACAAGGGCCCAGGCCCUAUGGGGCGCAGCAGGCGCGAAACCUCUGCAAUAGGCGAAAGCUUGACAGGGUUACUCUGAGUGAUUUCCGUUAAGGAGAUCUUUUGGCACCCCUAAAAAUGGUGCAGAAUAAGGGGUGGGCAAGUCUGGUGUCAGCCGCCGCGGUAAUACCAGCACCCCGAGUGGUCGGGACGUUUAUUGGGCCUAAAGCAUCCGUAGCCGGUUCUACAAGUCUUCCGUUAAAUCCACCUGCUUAACAGAUGGGCUGCGGAAGAUACUAUAGAGCUAGGAGGCGGGAGAGGCAAGCGGUACUCGAUGGGUAGGGGUAAAAUCCGUUGAUCCAUUGAAGACCACCAGUGGCGAAGGCGGCUUGCCAGAACGCGCUCGACGGUGAGGGAUGAAAGCUGGGGGAGCAAACCGGAUUAGAUACCCGGGUAGUCCCAGCUGUAAACGAUGCAGACUCGGUGAUGAGUUGGCUUAUUGCUAACUCAGUGCCGCAGGGAAGCCGUUAAGUUUGCCGCCUGGGGAGUACGGUCGCAAGACUGAAACUUAAAGGAUUGGNCGGGGGAGCA
Molecule: ribosomal RNA, 868 nt
Filed under: uncultured archaeon
Lineage: Archaea
Description: bacterial SSU rRNA
Rfam family: Archaeal small subunit ribosomal RNA
Source: RNAcentral